CUUCAUCUCCGAGAACUUGAGUGAGUACUGCCAGCCAGUCCAGGAGGACCACUCGACGCCGUCGGCGUAGGAGGCGUGUGCGCCGCGCAGAUCUCACUUCCUCAGGAAGACUGCCUGCCCUCCUGUCGAAGUGGAGGACCUCUGCCAACCCAGGUGCCCCCUGUUGGUGUUUAUCAUUCUGAUUCCAGCUGCCUAUUUCCGUGUCGGGCUCCCCCCUCCACCAAUGUGGAAGCUCCAUGUGAUCAGCAUGACUGUCCCGCUCACUGUGGAACCCUAGCAUCUGAGAGGCAGCACUCGCCCCCACCGCCUCCAUCUGUGCCCGCGUCUGAGGUGUUAGAGGUUUGGCCGCGGCACCAGCAGAGCCGCCCGAUCCAUUACUAAGCAGCCCGACUUCAGCCGCCCGGAACCGCCCUGUGCGGCGUCUGCCUGCAGCUCCGGGAGACAGAAGCUCGGACACUGGCCAGAAGUCAGGCAGCUAUGAGUGGACAGUCUGACUCACCCCUCACUCCGUAGCCUGAGGCCGUGCUGGACACCCAGAUGUCCGCAUCUCACCACCCACGUCCAUGUGCUCAUUUGCCACCCACCAGGGGUGUCCCAAACCUGCCCCCUUGUCUCCUUCCCAGGCCUCUCAGGCCAAGAGCUGAUCUCUCAGCAUCCCCCGUCUUCAGCCCUCCUUUCCUGCUACUUUUCCAGGCUGGGUGCCAGUAGCAAGCAGGGCCCCGGCUACAGCUCGGUCUGGGUGAAUGAUCAGACGUGGUGAGCACACAUUCAAGGCCACUGGGGCCUCCCGGCCUCUCUCCUCCACCUGGGAAGCACCUGCCGUCGCUGAGAGUAGCAGACGUCUUAACAAUUUGGCUCCAAUCCGCCGCAGCUCAGAGGUCAGAGCAUCAUUUGCCAACACGGGCACUCUUCCAAGUGGUAACAAACCAUGACCGACCCCUUCCAGGGCUGAGACACAGCCCUGCUGCAGUUCCAAAGAAGUGGCUUUUAGACUCUCGGACUGUGACCCAGGGAAAUGCAGUUGACAUCCUGACUUGCAUACUCACAGCUUUUUGUAUCUGAAACAAAAGCUUUCCGAAAUGAUAUUUGUCCUUCAGAUGGAUGGGCGUUAAUAUUUUCCAUC
Odocoileus virginianus texanus is the source of this 1123-nucleotide non-coding RNA. The record is from RefSeq and is a predicted model, not a curated record. Lineage: Eukaryota; Metazoa; Chordata; Mammalia; Artiodactyla; Cervidae.